Molecule: transfer RNA, 68 nt
Filed under: Enoplochiton echinatus
Lineage: Eukaryota; Metazoa; Mollusca; Polyplacophora; Chitonida; Chitonidae
Description: tRNA-Ser
Source: RNAcentral
UACUGCUUUUCUUGGGAAAGACCGUGUUUUGAAAGCACAGAAGAAGUGUUCGAAUCACUUAGUAGUUU